UGGGGAAUUUUGGACAAUGGGCGAAAGCCUGAUCCAGCAAUGCCGCGUGUGUGAAGAAGGCCUUCGGGUUGUAAAGCACUUUUGUCCGGAAAGAAAUCCUCUGGGUUAAUACCUCGGGGGGAUGACGGUACCGGAAGAAUAAGCACCGGCUAACUACGUGCCAGCAGCCGCGGUAAUGACGUAGGGUGCAAGCGUUAAUCGGAAUUACUGGGCGUAAAGCGUGCGCAGGCGGUUUUGUAAGACGGAUGUGAAAUCCCCGGGCUUAACCUGGGAACUGCAUUCGUGACUGCAAGGCUAGAGUAUGGCAGAGGGGGGUAGAAUUCCACGUGUAGCAGUGAAAUGCGUAGAGAUGUGGAGGAAUACCGAUGGCGAAGGCAGCCCCCUGGGCCAAAUACUGACGCUCAUGCACGAAAGCGUGGGGAGCAAACAGGAUUAGAUACCCUGGUAGUCCCACGCCCUAAACGAUGUCAACUAGUUGUUGGGGAUUCAUUUCCUUAGUAACGUAGCUAACGCGUGAAGUUGACCGCCUGGGGGA
Molecule: ribosomal RNA, 535 nt
Filed under: uncultured bacterium
Lineage: Bacteria
Description: partial 16S ribosomal RNA
Rfam family: Bacterial small subunit ribosomal RNA
Source: RNAcentral